CGUAGGGUGCGAGCGUUGUCCGGAAUUAUUGGGCGUAAAGAGCUUGUAGGCGGUUAGUCGCGUCGGAAGUGAAAACUCGGGCCUUAAUCCCGAGCUUGCUUCCGAUACGGGCUGACUAGAGGAAGGUGGGGGAGAAUGGAAUUCCUGGUGGAGCGGUGGAAUGCGCAGAUAUCAGGAGGAACACCAGUGGCGAAGGCGGUUCUCUGGACCUUUCCUGACGCUGAGAAGCGAAAGCGUGGGGAGCAAACAGGCUUAGAUACCCUGGUAGUCCCU
RNAcentral lists this ribosomal RNA (273 nucleotides) under uncultured prokaryote. RNAcentral's name for it is "partial 16S ribosomal RNA". It matches the Rfam family "Bacterial small subunit ribosomal RNA", at positions 526 to 798 of the family's 1533-position model. The record is from RNAcentral.